Molecule: long non-coding RNA, 213 nt
Filed under: Lathyrus oleraceus (garden pea)
Lineage: Eukaryota; Viridiplantae; Streptophyta; Magnoliopsida; Fabales; Fabaceae
Description: Pisum sativum (pea) long non-coding RNA (PSAT_LNC028648)
Source: RNAcentral
UUUUAUGACACUUCUUUGUCUCAUUUCUAUCACUAUUUUGUAAUCUAUAUCUAUGGUCUCCACUUGCACAUAUCAUACUCAUUUUGUGAUUCUUAAUUAGUCUCAAUCAAUUGCAUAUUUUAGGAAAUUUUGCUUUAAUUUGAAAAAAUAAAAAAAUAACAUCCGGACUUAAAAAACUAACUUUGCAUCAAAAUUACAAUUAUAUAUUUGUCU